RNAcentral lists this ribosomal RNA (417 nucleotides) under uncultured bacterium. RNAcentral describes it as "bacterial SSU rRNA". It matches the Rfam family "Bacterial small subunit ribosomal RNA", at positions 32 to 441 of the family's 1533-position model. The record is from RNAcentral.
AAUCAACGCUGGCGGCGUGCCUCAGACAUGCAAGUCGAACGAUUAAGACUUCCUUCGGGAAGUGCAUAAAGUGGCGCACGGGUGAGUAACACGUAAGUAAUCUACCCUCGAGUGGGGAAUAACGUUCGGAAACGGACGCUAAUACCGCAUAACGCAGCGGCACCGCAAGGUGACAGUUGUUAAAGGAGUAAUUCGCUUGAGGAGGAGCUUGCGGCAGAUUAGCUUGUUGGUAAGGAACGGCUUACCAAGGCUACGAUCUGUAUCCGGUCUAAGAGGACGGUCGGACACACUGACGCUGAAUAACGGGUCAGACUCCUACGGGAGGCAGCAGUCGGGAAUUUUGGCAAUGGGCGAAAGCCUGACCCAGCAACGCCGCGUGAAGGAUGAAGUAUUUCGGUAUGUAAACUUACGAAAGAA